Apteryx haastii (Great spotted kiwi) is the source of this 1788-nucleotide long non-coding RNA. The record is from Ensembl. NCBI's taxonomy places the organism in Eukaryota, Metazoa, Chordata, Aves, Apterygiformes, Apterygidae.
AUGCCUCCCGCCAGCCCCCAGCCAGGGCCAGGGCAGAGGCAGCUCCUGCUCACCUCCGCCAAAAUCAAGGCCUCGACGGUCUGGGCAGUCAGCGACUCCGACUGGGCAAGAGAGCAAAGAGCCAACGUGAGCAGCUGGUCACUGGGGCUGUUCCCCAAAGCCCCGUGGUGCUGGGGGCAGAGCGGAAACCCCCGGGACACUUACGGGACCGUAGAAGCCGACGACCUUGAUGAGGAGCCGAAGGGAGGUGAGUCGGGUGACCCGGGUCUCCUGGGCUCCUCGGCUUUGCCUGGGCACAGGGCAGGGACGAAAGCAGAGCUCGGUCACAGCCRGCCCCCUCUGCUCACUCCCCCGGCACCAGCUCAGCACCUCCCUGCCACCCGGACCCUGGAGACCUUCCCGCAGCGCUGGCUGGCAGCACUGCUCUGCAACGGCCCCGCUUCUGCUGCCUCUGGGCCUCCUGCGUGUGGAAAGGGGAAGCGGCGGCUCAGGCUCCCCAUCCACGCAAGCGAGGAGCUGUGCUGCCAGCUCCAGGGCGCUGGUGUUCGUUGGCCAYCACAAGGCGAAGCAGCUGCCGCCGUGCAGCCCAGGAGCUGCCCUGCGCAGGGGUGUCCCUUUCCCCCAACUCCACGGCUGCAUUGCUGCGGGCAGCUCCCCCGGCAGCUCUGCACCGCCCGCAGCCGUGACGCCCACCGCAGGCGGGCUGAAAUCCCCAGCAUUGCUCACCUGAGGAUGGCGUUGAGCCACAGCUCCUUCACCUCCUGUGACCUGCAGUGCAAAGGAGAAGCAGCCUCAGAGCCCGCUGCUCCUCCUCCUCAGCUGGAGAGGCACAGGCCCCCAGACACAUCUCGCCCGCUUGGCACCGCUCCACACCGCCAUACACCAAGCCCCCGGGUGGUGUUCCCCCCCCGCAGCAUCCCUGGGCUGAGCAGAGCUGCAGGGAGGUGGUGGGGGCGGGUGGCUUGUGCACGCCUGGAGCUGCCUGUGGCUGUGUCUGAAAGCUCUGCUUUCUCUCCCACAGCCUGCCCUGAGCCCCAGCAAGCAUGGAGAGGCCUGAAGGUGAGCACGGUGCCCUGCACCCUCAAAUGGCCCUGCACAUGUCCCCAGCACUCACUGGAAAGUGACCACGCAGAGGUUGGGGGGCCACACGAGGAUGAGGGUGCUGGUGCAUUUCAGGCCAAAACCCUCCUCCUCUUCUUCCCGCCCGCACACCGCCUCGUCCUUCCCGCAGAGCACCCAGAGCUCGCUGAGAAGCACCCGGUGCUUCAGCAGGAAGGUGGAGACACAUCUGCCGGCAGGAAGAGCAGGGGCCACCUUGGAGGUUGUGUCCGUGGGGGCAGCCCCAGCAGUCCUCCCGGGGAGAGCCCUGUGGCGGGGACAGAGGCUGGGGGUGGCCAGCGUGAGCCUUGGGUGGAAGAAAGGGGCCUCAGUGCCAGCACACACCCAGGGCACUCCCGAAAAAUCGCUGCUGCCAAGCGAUGGCAGCAGGUGCUUUACCAGGGGCUGCAGCUCAGGACGGCCAAACAGGAGCCUGCCCCUGUGCUCUUACACCUCCCCGAAUUAAAGGGCAAGUGUGUCCYUCCACGCAGCGCAGUGCAGCGCAGGGCCACCCCUGCAGGGCGUUGCAGGUUGCUUGGAGCACAAGUGCUGGGCGGGAGCAAAGGGCACCCACGCAGCGGCUAUGCAGCGAGGACAGGAGGAAGGCCCCCUUCUGGGCGACUUCCCUGGGGCUUGUGGACACUAGCGGCUUUGACAAGCACUAUUUGGCAGCACUGGUAUUUGUUGUAG